CCUACGGGGGGCUGCAGUGAGGAAUAUUGGUCAAUGGGCGAAAGCCUGAUGCAGCAACGCCGCGUGAAGGAAGAAGGGUUUCGGCUCGUAAACUUCUAUCAACAGGGACGAAAGAAAUGACGGUACCCGAAUAAGAAGCCCCGGCUAACUACGUGCCAGCAGCCGCGGGAAUACGCAGGGGGCAAGCGUUAUCCGGAAUUACUGGGUGUAAAGGGUGAGUAGGCGGCAUGGUAAGCCAGAUGUGAAAGCCUUGGGCUUAACCCGAGGAUUGCAUUUGGAACUAUCAAGCUAGAGUGCAGGAGAGGAAAGCGGAAUUCCUAGUGUAGCGGUGAAAUGCGUAGAUAUUAGGAAGAACACCAGUGGCGAAGGCGGCUUACUGGACUAAAACUGACGCUGAGGCACGAAAGCGUGGGGAGCGAACAGGAUUAGAUACCCUAGUAGUC
RNAcentral lists this ribosomal RNA (443 nucleotides) under uncultured bacterium. RNAcentral's name for it is "partial 16S ribosomal RNA". It matches the Rfam family "Bacterial small subunit ribosomal RNA", at positions 338 to 795 of the family's 1533-position model. The record is from RNAcentral.